This 511-nucleotide long non-coding RNA is filed under the name Ananas comosus (pineapple). RNAcentral describes it as "long non-coding RNA (ACOM_LNC025190)". Lineage: Eukaryota; Viridiplantae; Streptophyta; Magnoliopsida; Poales; Bromeliaceae. The record is from RNAcentral.
UCUAUAUCUUUUUUUUUUUUUUACAAACCCUUUUAAUAGUGUACAUCGUAUCUAUCGGAUUGAAUUUUGAUUUUAAGACGUUAACUGUUAAAAAAUAAGUACGAUGAAUAAAGAAUACAAAUACACUGAAAAAAGACAAUAAUUUCUCUCAUUCUGACUCACUUUAUCAAAUCCUUAAUUUCCAUUCACAUUGUGGCUUGAUGGUUCGUUUUACUACAUUUAAAAAAUCUAUAGGCCACCACUCAUAUAUCUAUUCUAGCGUGAAGUGAGAUUUAAACUCUGAAUCUCAUAUUUGGUCAGAGAUGUGUCACCCACUUUUCUAAGUAAUGUUGGUUCGAUCAACAAUCUUUCUAUCAGCAAAUAGAGAGAGAGAGAGAGAGAGAGAGAGAGAGUGAGAGAUUAUUGCUCUGAUAGUCAGUGUGUCAGCAAAGCAAUCUGCCAAUGAGAAUGCAACAAAUUAUCUCAAUUAUUAUUGAAACUCCUCUAAUUACAAUCUCUAAUGUCACCUUUU